RNAcentral lists this ribosomal RNA (465 nucleotides) under uncultured Klebsiella sp. RNAcentral describes it as "bacterial SSU rRNA". It matches the Rfam family "Bacterial small subunit ribosomal RNA", at positions 338 to 795 of the family's 1533-position model. The record is from RNAcentral. Lineage: Bacteria; Pseudomonadati; Pseudomonadota; Gammaproteobacteria; Enterobacterales; Enterobacteriaceae.
CCUACGGGUGGCAGCAGUGGGGAAUAUUGCACAAUGGGCGCAAGCCUGAUGCAGCCAUGCCGCGUGUGUGAAGAAGGCCUUCGGGUUGUAAAGCACUUUCAGCGGGGAGGAAGGCGUUAAGGUUAAUAACCUUGGCGAUUGACGUUACCCGCAGAAGAAGCACCGGCUAACUCCGUGCCAGCAGCCGCGGUAAUACGGAGGAUGCGAGCGUUAAUCGGAAUUACUGGGCGUAAAGCGCACGCAGGCGGUCUGUCAAGUCGGAUGUGAAAUCCCCGGGCUCAACCUGGGAACUGCAUUUGAAACUGGCAGGCUAGAGUCUUGUAGAGGGGGGUAGAAUUCCAGGUGUAGCGGUGAAAUGCGUAGAGAUCUGGAGGAAUACCGGUGGCGAAGGCGGCCCCCUGGACAAAGACUGACGCUCAGGUGCGAAAGCGUGGGGAGCAAACAGGAUUAGAUACCCGAGUAGUC